Papaver somniferum (opium poppy) is the source of this 729-nucleotide long non-coding RNA. RefSeq lists it as uncharacterized. The transcript is spliced from 3 exons. Lineage: Eukaryota; Viridiplantae; Streptophyta; Magnoliopsida; Ranunculales; Papaveraceae. The record is from RefSeq and is a predicted model, not a curated record.
UGGAUUUGUAUGCAAGAAAAAGAAGGAAUCCUACCUCUGUCUGUUGUAACUAUUUAGCUUAAUUGUUUUGAUAGUUUACUUGAUGCUGCUAUUUUCCUUGCUUCUUUGCAGCUACAAUAAGACUUCUCAAGCAAUAACAUAAAGUGUACAGAGAGAACUUCAUUUACCAGCUCGCGGUGGUUCUUCAGAUUGUGUUCGAGAAUCGCUUGCAUGGGGAGUAGAUCGAAUUAAAAGAGAUAUAUGCACGGGACAAUUUCAUAUGCUGUAACAUUCAACUAUAAGCACGGAGCAUGUGCAGCACCACGAAACCCCUUCGUUGGCAGAGCCGCCUUAGGUCUGUCCUUUUUGAAGUUUAUCUGUAAGCUUAAUCCUAAAGCUAAAGUCCUGUUAAAUGGGUAACUUAUGGAUGCUAACAAUGAGCAAGAGAAAAAACGUUAUGGUGCCCGCCGGUUUCAUCCCAUCAGCUACUGAUACCGAAGAUGACGACCAUGUCAUUAGGUGAGUUUUUGUUAAUUUAUGGCUUUCAUUGACAACACAACAACGUUCUUCUUUUCUAGAUAUUGAGCUUAAAAGCUUCACCUCUGAACAGUGGAAAUAUGUGUGAUGGCAAGGUCCAAAACCGUCGACUGAUUUUAAGUGUAUACCUAAUUCUCAGUUGUGCCAGGAAACCGUAUUGUUAGUCGCUAAGUGAUGUCAAAGUAAAAUUAUUUUCCUUCACUUGCUACUGUU